Molecule: long non-coding RNA, 403 nt
Filed under: Olea europaea (common olive)
Lineage: Eukaryota; Viridiplantae; Streptophyta; Magnoliopsida; Lamiales; Oleaceae
Description: long non-coding RNA (OEUR_LNC011658)
Source: RNAcentral
AAAUUGAGGGCUGAGCUAAGGAUUAUUUGUUAGACACGUCCACUACACACGAAAAGGGGGCGGCUGGGAGAGAAAUUGGACUUGAAUUUGGAGUCAAUUUUUGCGGCUGCUGGGAGGAGAAGUGAGCUGCCUAUUGCUGAAAUAUAUAUAUAUAAAUUGUUGGCAGCGAAGAUUAUUCGCUAUAUACGCAUGGAAAUUCGACUUCAAACAUAAAUAAGGCUAUUUGUUGCUGAAUUAUAGAUGUAUAUUGGAAAUAGCGAAGGAGAGAGGCAGUUGACGGCUGAAAAACAAAAUAAAAGAAGAAAAGGCAACGAGCACCACAGAGAUAGCAAAUUCCCGUUGCAAAACUUUAAUCAUGUUCCGUCAAUUAAUCCGAUGAUGUCUUCCAUGAAUUUAUCUUGCU